AUCCAAGGAUUCCGGGGUAAAGCUGAUCUGCCCCGGGUAAGUCGGGACCUAAGGCGAGGCAGAAAUGCGUAGCCGAUGGACAGCAGGUGGAGAUUCCUGCACUGCCAUAUAUCAGAAAUGUGGGGACGCAUCAGGAAAGUGUGGGCCGGGAAAGGAAAGACCGGUGCAAGCGGAGGAGGGGACAUGCAGGCAAAUCCGCAUGUCAACCCAAGAGCGUUAUGCGGAGCGAAGAACAGUAGCGAAGCACACGGACAGGGUGCCGAGAAAAGCCGCUAUCGUGUAUAUGGUACCCGUACCGUAAACCGACACAGGUGGAUGAGGAGAGAAUCCUAAGGCCGGCGGGAGAAGCAUUGUUAAGGAACUCGGCAAAAUGGCCCCGUAACUUAGGGAUAAGGGGUGCCACAGUGUUGUGGCCGCAGAGAAUAGGCUCAAGCAACUGUUUAGCAAAAACACAGGUCUAUGCGAAACCGAGAGGUGAGGUAUAUGGGCUGACGCCUGCCCGGUGCUGGAAGGUUAAGAGGAGAGGUCAGGAAACGAAGCCUUGAAUUGAAGCCCCAGUAAACGGCGGCCGUAACUAUAACGGUCCUAAGGUAGCGAAAUUCCUUGUCGGGUAAGUUCCGACCCGCACGAAAGGCGUAAUGAUUUGAGCGCUGUCUCGACAAUGCACCCGGUGAAAUUGAAGUACCAGUGAAGAUGCUGGUUACCCGCGCCAGGACGGAAAGACCCCAUGGAGCUUUACUCCAGCUUGAUACUGGGAUCCGGUGUCCAAUGUACAGGAUAGGUGGGAGGCUGAGAGCCAUGAACGCAAGUUUAUGGGGAGCCGCUGUUGGGAUACCACCCUUUGGGUACUGGAUUUCUAACCUGCGCCCGUGACCCGGGCGGGGGACAAUGUCUGGCGGGGAGUUUGACUGGGGCGGUCGCCUCCGAAAGGGUAUCGGAGGCGCUCAAAGGUUCACUCAGAAUGGUCGGAAACCAUUCGGAGAGCGCAAAGGCAGAAGUGAGCCUGACUGUGACACCGACGGGUGGAACAGGUACGAAAGUAGGACUUAGUGAUCCGGUGGUAUAAAGUGGGAUUGCCAUCGCUCAACGGAUAAAAGCUACCCUGGGAUAACAGGCUGAUCACUCCCAAGAGUUCACAUCGACGGAGUGGUUUGGCACCGAUGUCGGCUCAUCGCAUCCUGGGGCUAUAGCAGGUCCCAAGGGUUGGGCUGUUCGCCCAUUAAAGCGGUACGCGAGCUGGGUUCAGAACGUCGUGAGACAGUUCGGUCCCUAUCCGGCGCGGGCGGAGGAUAUCAGAGAGGAGCUGUCCUUAGUACGAGAGGACCGGGAUGGACGGACCGCUGGUGCAUCUGUUGGAUACCAGAUCCAUGGCAGAGUAGCCAAGUCCGGCAGGGAUAAACGCUGAAGGCAUCUAAGCGUGAAGCCCCCCUCAGGAUGAGAUAUCCCAUUCAUAGAGAAUGUAAGACCCCUUAGAGACUAUGAGGUAGAUAGGGCAUGGGUGUAAGUGCAGAGAUGCACUGAGCUGAAUGUCACUAAUAGGUCGAGGGCUUAUCU
RNAcentral lists this ribosomal RNA (1554 nucleotides) under metagenome. RNAcentral describes it as "bacterial LSU rRNA". It matches the Rfam family "Bacterial large subunit ribosomal RNA", at positions 1343 to 2925 of the family's 2925-position model. The record is from RNAcentral.